This 631-nucleotide ribosomal RNA is filed under the name uncultured bacterium. RNAcentral describes it as "bacterial SSU rRNA". It matches the Rfam family "Bacterial small subunit ribosomal RNA", at positions 53 to 676 of the family's 1533-position model. The record is from RNAcentral.
ACAACCCAGUCGAGCGGCAGCGGGUCCUUCGGGAUGCCGGCGAGCGGCGGACGGGUGAGUAAUGCCUAGGAAUCUGCCUGGUAGUGGGGGAUAACUCGGGGAAACUCGAGCUAAUACCGCAUACGUCCUACGGGAGAAAGCGGGGGAUCUUCGGACCUCGCGCUACCAGAUGAGCCUAGGUCGGAUUAGCUAGUUGGUGAGGUAAAGGCUCACCAAGGCGACGAUCCGUAGCUGGUCUGAGAGGAUGAUCAGCCACACUGGAACUGAGACACGGUCCAGACUCCUACGGGAGGCAGCAGUGGGGAAUAUUGGACAAUGGGCGAAAGCCUGAUCCAGCCAUGCCGCGUGUGUGAAGAAGGUCUUCGGAUUGUAAAGCACUUUAAGUUGGGAGGAAGGGCAGUAAGUUAAUACCUUGCUGUUUUGACGUUACCGACAGAAUAAGCACCGGCUAACUUCGUGCCAGCAGCCGCGGUAAUACGAAGGGUGCAAGCGUUAAUCGGAAUUACUGGGCGUAAAGCGCGCGUAGGUGGUUUGAUAAGUUGGAUGUGAAAGCCCCGGGCUCAACCUGGGGAAUUGCAUCCCAAAACUGUCUGACUAGAGUAUGGCAAGAGGGUGGUGGAAUUUCCUGUGU